GCUCACUCGAUGGAAAUGGUAAACAGGGCAGACUAAUUACCUAUAGGUUAUCGGUUCAAGUCCGAUAGUGAGCA
This 74-nucleotide transfer RNA is filed under the name Huperzia crispata. RNAcentral describes it as "tRNA-Ile". It matches the Rfam family "tRNA". From Rfam's summary of the family: Transfer RNA (tRNA) molecules are approximately 80 nucleotides in length. Their secondary structure includes four short double-helical elements and three loops (D, anti-codon, and T loops). Lineage: Eukaryota; Viridiplantae; Streptophyta; Lycopodiopsida; Lycopodiales; Lycopodiaceae. The record is from RNAcentral.